GAGUAUGAUGAAGAAAGAAUUAAAAUCCAAGGAGGAACAGAAGAAAAGUAUGUAGAAAAUGUGAUUUCCCCAAGGCUCGUGACAUUGUCUUGUAAGGGAAGAUGGGUCUGACUGCCAGUAGCAGCCUUAAACAAAAUAAUCAAAAAAGUGAGCCCCCGCACAUAAGCUCGAGACUAUCAGAAUUCUUCAGGGCAGAAUAAGUUGGGCCUUUAUUUCCCUCUGCUGCUUCCCUGGUAAUUGUUUGAAGAGUCCUGUGAAGACUUCUUUUUAAUUCCUCUCACUGUGAGGACCAGCCUCUCACACCUUGCUUUCAAAUACUGGAAAUAUCCUCUGAGGCUCCUCUGUGCCUCCAAAGGUCAAGGAACUGACAUUUUAAUAUCAGGCGCAUAACUUGGGAAGCUAGCAGAAAGGGGAAGUCUCCAGAGAUUUCAGAAAGUCUGAAGACAUUUUUGGUUUAUACAAGCGGGAAGGUACUACCCGCUUCUAAUGAGCAGAGACCAGGGAUGCUGCUAAACUUCCUACAAUGCAUAGGACAACUUCUCAUAAAAAAGAAUUAUCUGGCCCCAAAUGUCAACAGUGCUGAAGUUUUUUAGUGGGUAUCAUUAUUUUAUCUGCGUUCUCAUCUCUUACCAGAUAGUUACUGUGCUGCUAUCACUGCUGCUGCUGUUUUCCAAUCCUACCCAAGCAAUUUUGGAAGGUAUUCAAGCAGUUCUCAGCUCCACUUUUAGUUACCUGUUCUUGAGCUAAAAAACAUUCUCUAAACUUUCUAUGUUGGAAACAUGCAUCUUUACGAUCAUUAUUUUUUCACAGAGACCUUUUUAUUAUUAUAACCUACUUGUUUCUGUCUCGUAUUUAUCACAACCAAGGACUUGCAGUCUAUGCUUACUCUACUAUUAUUAUAGUUUUUUGGACCAUGCAUUGGAACAUUUUUUUUUGACAUCUGGAUAUGAUGACAAAGCAUCAUCCAAAGGCAUUUUAUACACUUUUCAUCGUGGGAUAAAUUUUUGUCUUAGUUUACUUCCAUCUCUUAAAAUACAGACAACAGUUUUUGUUUUUCCUCACAAAAGAGUUUCAAGGGUCUUGUUAUCCCAAGGCGAUUAUGACUCGUCCCAAACGAAUAAUAACCAUCAUGGGUCUAUCUUCAGCCAGAUAUAAGAGUUACAUUGAAAAAGAAUAUAUUCUGUGGAAUUGCUAUCCUGACAAAUAUCUUUAUCAAGCAUCUGAACUGUGAUGAAUAUGGCUCCUAAUAUUAUUUAUCUUCAGAACUUUGUUUCAGUGGGUUGAUUUAUUGUUUAUUCAGUGGACAGAAAUUACGGUCUGGCUGAACACUCACAUAGGUUUUGAUUUCCAUACAAAAGUCUCACUUUCUAAACAGACUACUAAUUUCCUGGUUCGAUUCUCAGUCAAAAUCUAACUUUCAAAGAAUAUGUGCCUUUGCUGGACAUUAUGUCAAAAGCCCUUUAGGCAGCUUCAGCAAUUGUCCUCAAAGCCCCUCAAAGGCUGAAAGGAGAACAGAAUAGAGCAGAAUAUAAGGUUUAAAAGACAGCUCUUCAGUCAAAAAUAAGUUGAAUAAAUAAGCAAAGAAGUCUUUGAGAAAGCCUUCAUUUGACAAAGUAGAAGUAUCCAUCUUCUUUCUCAUUUCUACCAUGACUUAGAAAAUACAUUUAUAUUACAAGUCAUCCCUUAGACAGUGCAUCCAGAUAAAUAGAUAUCAGAAAGGGCACUGAGAUAAAUAGAUAUCAGAGCUGGCUCUCUUUUUGCUUUACCAAGCUUUAUUUCCCGAAGGCACAUCAACAAUGUGAACUAAAUGGUAUCAUUCCACAAUUCACUUCUCAGUGCUUAAGUCAGGUGGUGACAAUCCUGAGUUUAGCUACCUUGAAUAAUAGGUUGGAAAAAAAAUAUAAAGAGGAGUAGGAAGCUGAUAAAUAGAUUCAAUUGUUCUAUUUCUCAGAUGGAUGAACUAAAAAACAAAUCAGGCUAAUCUGAGACUUCACUUGGGAGCUAUGUCAGUUCUAAGUUAAAGCUGCCACUGAAUAAUGCCUUGCCAAAAAAUAAAGUCUUAUAGUCAAUCCUUUAGUGUAUGUCUCAUUCCAAGGCACUGCCUCCUUGAUUUUUGUGCUAGGUUGUCACUGUGAUUGAAUUGUGAACUUGUUCUCUUUGACCUCUAGAAACUUUAAGAAUUGUCUAAGAGAUUUUUUAAGGUCAAGAUUAUAUUGAGAGACAUUAUGCUAUGUAGAUAAAUACCAUGGAAAAAAGGAUAGAGUAAUGACUUGUCAAGACAUAAAGGAUUAUAGAAAAAAAUAUUAAAUGUAGAAAACUUUUUUUUAAAUGUGUGUAUGUGUGUGUGUGUGUGUGUGAAUGAGAAUCCUCUUUAGAAAGAAAGCUUUCACUCUGAAGGAAUAUAAAAGUAAAAUGGUUGGAGAGCUUCCCCAAACAAGGAUUAUAAACUCCUUUACAUCAUAAAUGAAAACAUACUUAAACAGCUGUUUAAUAUUUAAAAUUCUUAAGUUAGGAAAGCAAAAUUAUUUUUUUUAUGAGAAACUACCCCAGGGACUUGAAAUUGCUCAAUAAGAACAUUUGUACAUCUAUUCUUAAAGCUUUGAGUUCAGAAGUUAAUAGGUAGUCAAUAUACUGUGUAACUUCCAUGCAUGGAUGAGUUAGAGUUUUAAUAAUAUUAAUCUUCCAAUAUUAGGACAUUAAUGUCAUAAUACGAUGCCUGGAAUUCCCUUAAAAUGCCAUUGGAAAUCCCCUAUAUAUAUUUUUUACCCUGUGAAAAAGCCAAGGAAAUUAUUAUGAGGUUAUCAAAGUGAUAGAGCUGCCAAUAUUGCUUAUCCAAAGCUAAAAAAUCCAAAUUUCUUAAAAUUUUCCUUCCAAAAAAAUAAUAUAUGGUGGAAACAUGACUUUCAAGAAUGGUAUUACACUCAGUAGGACAUACAUAAAGGAGCUAUAGUGAACAGCUCAAAUGGAAGGGAGGGGAAGGGAAAAUGAAAUGCUCAAACAUGAUCUGAUGGUAUAAAGGACUUCACACCAAAUAAGAUUUUAAUACUACAACAUUUGGAAUUGCACUUAGCUCUGGUGUUUCUAUGCAAUAGAAACUUGGGAAAUUGACUGGAUCUUUCUAAACCUCAGUUUUUCCUUUGGUAAAAUGGGUUUGGCAUUGCUUAUCUUGCUGGAGUAUUAUGAAGAUUAGGCAAAACAAUGCAUUGAAAAAGCUUUAUAAGUUGUAAAGCAGCUGCUGUGGUUGUUUUUGUUGUUGCCAUUCUGUUGUUCUUGUGUGUAUAUACUUUAUCAAUAGUUCUCAAACAAUGCUGUACAUUAACAUCCAGAGUGGAAACAUCUUCAAGAUUCACAUGCCUGGAUUCCAUUUGAGUGUUGAAGCUGGGCUCAAACAUACCUAUUUGGAAAAGCCUAUCCAGACAGUUCUGGUGGGCAGCCCAUGACGUUUAUCCUCUACUCUCAAGCCUCAGACUUCCUAAUCUCUAAUGUUUUAUAACUACCAUGAAAUAGAGGACCAUAAGCAGGCAUUCUCUCUUCUUCAGUCUCAGAAUUCAAUCAAUGGUUAUUUUGUCCUGUAAGGUUACAGUGAACUGCUGAAAUACGGAAUUUACUACAAUGGUGAAGAUUCAUAGUUUGGGGAAUAAAUGAUUCAAAAGCUUAAA
This 3659-nucleotide long non-coding RNA is filed under the name Sus scrofa (pig). RNAcentral describes it as "lncRNA (ENSSSCG00015004687.1)". Lineage: Eukaryota; Metazoa; Chordata; Mammalia; Artiodactyla; Suidae. The record is from RNAcentral.